UGUGUGUCAGUGGAACGGUCUGGAAAGGCCGGCGAUACAGGGUGACAGCCCCGUACACGAAGGCACACAGGCUGUGAGCUCGAUGAGUAGGGCGGGACACGUGAUAUCCUGUCUGAAGAUGGGGGGACCAUCCUCCAAGGCUAAAUACUCCUGACUGACCGAUAGUGAACCAGUACCGUGAGGGAAAGGCGAAAAGAACCCCGGCGAGGGGAGUGAAACAGAACCUGAAACCGUGUACGUACAAGCAGUGGGAGCCUUCGUAAGAGGGUGACUGCGUACCUUUUGUAUAAUGGGUCAGCGACUUAUAUUCUGUAGCAAGGUUAACCGUAUAGGGGAGC
RNAcentral lists this ribosomal RNA (338 nucleotides) under Cronobacter sakazakii. RNAcentral describes it as "partial 23S ribosomal RNA". It matches the Rfam family "Bacterial large subunit ribosomal RNA", at positions 323 to 666 of the family's 2925-position model. Lineage: Bacteria; Pseudomonadati; Pseudomonadota; Gammaproteobacteria; Enterobacterales; Enterobacteriaceae. The record is from RNAcentral.